AGAGUUUGAUCAUGGCUCAGAUUGAACGCUGGCGGCAGGCCUAACACAUGCAAGUCGAACGGUAACAGGAAACAGCUUGCUGUUUCGCUGACGAGUGGCGGACGGGUGAGUAAUGUCUGGGAAACUGCCUGAUGGAGGGGGAUAACUACUGGAAACGGUAGCUAAUACCGCAUAACGUCGCAAGACCAAAGAGGGGGACCUUCGGGCCUCUUGCCAUCAGAUGUGCCCAGAUGGGAUUAGCUAGUAGGUGGGGUAACGGCUCACCUAGGCGACGAUCCCUAGCUGGUCUGAGAGGAUGACCAGCCACACUGGAACUGAGACACGGUCCAGACUCCUACGGGAGGCAGCAGUGGGGAAUAUUGCACAAUGGGCGCAAGCCUGAUGCAGCUAUGCCGCGUGUAUGAAGAAGGCCUUCGGGUUGUAAAGUACUUUCAGCGGGGAGGAAGGGAGUAAAGUUAAUACCUUUGCUCAUUGACGUUACCCGCAGAAGAAGCACCGGCUAACUCCGUGCCAGCAGCCGCGGUAAUACGGAGGGUGCAAGCGUUAAUCGGAAUUACUGGGCGUAAAGCGCACGCAGGCGGUUUUGUUAAGUCAGAUGUGAAAUCCCCGGGCUCAACCUGGGAACUGCAUCUGAUACUGGCAAGCUUGAGUCUCGUAGAGGGGGGUAGAAUUCCAGGUGUAGCGGUGAAAUGCGUAGAGAUCUGGAGGAAUACCGGUGGCGAAGGCGGCCCCCUGGACGAAGACUGACGCUCAGGUGCGAAAGCGUGGGGAGCAAACAGGAUUAGAUACCCUGGUAGUCCACGCCGUAAACGAUGUCGACUUGGAGGUUGUGCCCUUGAGGCGUGGCUUCCGGAGCUAACGCGUUAAGUCGACCGCCUGGGGAGUACGGCCGCAAGGUUAAAACUCAAAUGAAUUGACGGGGGCCCGCACAAGCGGUGGAGCAUGUGGUUUAAUUCGAUGCAACGCGAAGAACCUUACCUGGUCUUGACAUCCACGGAAGUUUUCAGAGAUGAGAAUGUGCCUUCGGGAACCGUGAGACAGGUGCUGCAUGGCUGUCGUCAGCUCGUGUUGUGAAAUGUUGGGUUAAGUCCCGCAACGAGCGCAACCCUUAUCCUUUGUUGCCAGCGGUCCGGCCGGGAACUCAAAGGAGACUGCCAGUGAUAAACUGGAGGAAGGUGGGGAUGACGUCAAGUCAUCAUGCCCCUUACGACCAGGGCUACACACGUGCUACAAUGGCGCAUAUAAAGAGAAGCGACCUCGCGAGAGCAAGCGGACCUCAUAAAGUGCGUCGUAGUCCGGAUUGGAGUCUGCAACUCGACUCCAUGAAGUCGGAAUCGCUAGUAAUCGUGGAUCAGAAUGCCACGGUGAAUACGUUCCCGGGCCUUGUACACACCGCCCGUCACACCAUGGGAGUGGGUUGCAAAAGAAGUAGGUAGCUUAACCUUCGGGAGGGCGCUUACCACUUUGUGAUUCAUGACUGGGGUGAAGUCGUAACAAGGUAACCGUAGGGGAACCUGCGGUUG
This 1523-nucleotide ribosomal RNA is filed under the name metagenome. RNAcentral describes it as "bacterial SSU rRNA". It matches the Rfam family "Bacterial small subunit ribosomal RNA". The record is from RNAcentral.